CUAUGUAUACCUAUAAUCAUGAACAUUUAAAGACAAAUAAUUGGAUGAGUAAAUGAUAUUUAAUGAUUUCUCCAUGCGUCUCCAACUCUUUCACACAACCACUCGUCUUCCUUACACCAUGCCAGCUUCUCUUCAUGCUCGAUAUUAGAAAAUCUUUUUCCCUUUCCUUUGGACCAAUAUUAUUUUCAAGCUCAAAGCACUGUCAAGAUCUGUUUUAUUAUUAUGAACCGAUCUAGAUCAGGUGGUGCAAAGGAAUGGAGGAGGAGUUUCAAGGGAUUAUUUUCUGUGUGAACUUCAUCAAUAAGCAGGGAGAAAGUUUGUCACAUUAUGUACAGAAAAAAGAAGAAGAAGAAGAAUAACAAGGUACGAAGAAGAAGACAAAAGUGAAAAGUAGGAGGAGGCCGAGGUGAUCAAUGAACCCCGGUUUUAUAUAUUUGCAAUCAGUCAAAGCCAGAUUUUUCGCCACCUGCUGCAUAAUUAAGCAGCAUCGAUCUGCAAUAUUUGCAGAGAUGAUCAUGAUGGCCGGAUGUGUCCCUUCGCUUGUUUGUCAAUAUUCCUUUUUUGCUUUAUUAAUGUGCAUUCACACGAACAUCAGGAGCUUUAAAAAUGGAAAAUCUUAAAGUAGCCAAAUAUAUAUGUGGCAGUUCUGCCUGUAUUCUCAAUAUUCUUGAUUAGUUAAACCAUUGACCAAGAACAUCUUGAAUUUGUGCAUGUUCUUCUUCUUAAGUUGUGAAUUCAGUUUACAUUAUUCAUUAAUUCUAUCUAGAUUUCCCUUAAA
Long non-coding RNA from Carya illinoinensis, 778 nucleotides. RefSeq lists it as uncharacterized. The transcript is spliced from 2 exons. The record is from RefSeq and is a predicted model, not a curated record. Lineage: Eukaryota; Viridiplantae; Streptophyta; Magnoliopsida; Fagales; Juglandaceae.